This 49-nucleotide transfer RNA is filed under the name Carpophthoromyia dimidiata. RNAcentral describes it as "partial tRNA-Thr". Lineage: Eukaryota; Metazoa; Arthropoda; Insecta; Diptera; Tephritidae. The record is from RNAcentral.
ACCAAAAAUAAGAUUCUUCUUUUAAAGCUUCAAGAGAAAAGAAAUUACU